GUAGGUGGCAAGCGUUGUCCGGAAUUAUUGGGCGUAAAGCGCGCGCAGGCGGUUCUUUAAGUCUGAUGUGAAAGCCCACGGCUCAACCGUGGAGGGUCAUUGGAAACUGGAGAACUUGAGUACAGAAGAGGAAAGCGGAAUUCCACGUGUAGCGGUGAAAUGCGUAGAGAUGUGGAGGAACACCAGUGGCGAAGGCGGCUUUCUGGUCUGUAACUGACGCUGAGGCGCGAAAGCGUGGGGAGCAAACAGGGAUUAGAUACCCUGGUAGUCCACGCCGUAAACGUUGAGUGCUAAGUGUUAGGGGGUUUCCCGCCCCUUAGUGCUGCAGCUAACGCAUUAAGCACUCCGCCUGGGGAGUACGGCCGCAAGGCUG
Molecule: ribosomal RNA, 373 nt
Filed under: uncultured organism
Description: partial 16S ribosomal RNA
Rfam family: Bacterial small subunit ribosomal RNA
Source: RNAcentral